RNAcentral lists this ribosomal RNA (379 nucleotides) under uncultured bacterium. RNAcentral describes it as "bacterial SSU rRNA". It matches the Rfam family "Bacterial small subunit ribosomal RNA", at positions 521 to 896 of the family's 1533-position model. The record is from RNAcentral.
UAAUACGGGGGGAGCAAGCGUUGUUCGGAUUUACUGGGCGUAAAGGGCGCGUAGGCGGCCACUGCAAGUCAGUUGUGAAAUCUCCGGGCUUAACUCGGAAAGGUCAACUGAUACUGCAGGGCUAGAGUGCGGAAGGGGCAACUGGAAUUCUCGGUGUAGCGGUGAAAUGCGUAGAUAUCGAGAGGAACACCUGCGGCGAAGGCGGGUUGCUGGGCCGACACUGACGCUGAGGCGCGAAAGCUAGGGGAGCGAACGGGAUUAGAUACCCCGGUAGUCCUAGCCUUAAACGAUGGAUGCUUGGUGUCUGGGGUUUUAUAGUCCCCGGGUGCCGUCGCUAACGCUUUAAGCAUCCCGCCUGGGGAGUACGGUCGCAAGACUG